UGUAUUCAUAAAUACAUUUAUUUAUUAUUUCUUGUUCUUGGCAUUAGUAUUUUUUCCAAAGGAUGCGUUUUUUCUCGCUGUGUAAGAAUGCCCGCUUGGCAACAAAGUCUCUAAGCAUUGAUUUAGUUGUCUUUUUCGUUGCUCGUUUUCUGAUUUGUAUUCGCAGUUUAUUUUGUGCUCGAAAUCUCGACAAAUUAAUGUUACAUUCUAAAGACAUUAAAAUGCUUUUAUCUCACAUCGCCGCAAGUACAAAAGAACAAUGCACGUUUUUCCACAAAUAAAACUACUAAAAUAGCUGGAGAGCAGGCCCAUUAUCCGACCAUUAGCAGAUCAUUGGAUCAAGUGAAAUACGCAAAUCCAGUAUUAGAGCUCAACUAUAACACAGCCGACUACAACUGACAUCGAAGCCAAUAAAAAUUCAUUAGCAGUUUGUUUAUUAAAUUGCACCCCCAGCAUGUAUUUUGCCUUCUGUAA
This is a long non-coding RNA of Drosophila albomicans, 474 nucleotides long. RefSeq lists it as uncharacterized. The record is from RefSeq and is a predicted model, not a curated record. The transcript has 2 exons. Lineage: Eukaryota; Metazoa; Arthropoda; Insecta; Diptera; Drosophilidae.